This is a long non-coding RNA of Onychostoma macrolepis, 820 nucleotides long. RefSeq lists it as uncharacterized. NCBI's taxonomy places the organism in Eukaryota, Metazoa, Chordata, Actinopteri, Cypriniformes, Cyprinidae. The transcript is spliced from 2 exons. The record is from RefSeq and is a predicted model, not a curated record.
CAGAUAUUCUUAGUUCCCUGUUAGCUAUAUAAAGCUUAGAAGCUGCUUUUUGUGGAUUACUGCACACACUGACUGCCAGUCAACUGUUGAACUAACUGUUAAUAGGAAAUCUUUGUGUCCUGAACUGAAUAUACAACAGUUAUUUUCUCUUAUCUCUCCAAUCUUCCCAGCUCCCAUUUAAAAACAUGGGGAACGAGACUUCACGCUCAAAUACCCACGUGGCCAACGCAACCGGGAAGAAUCUUCGGAUUUUCUAUGAAGUGGAUAAAAUGAGGCUGGAAGAAUUGGUGAUAAAUGUGGGGACAGAGAUAGGAGGUACAGCAUCAAAAACUGAACAAUCAAUAUCAGGGAAGAUUUCCACCGACACAAAGAUGGUUUUUAAACCAGACUCCCGGAUCCGUUACCUUCGCCUGCCGAAGCACGAUUCAUGUAACUUUACCGGAGAAGGCACCCUCUAUGCCUCUGUCCUUGUGGAAGAUGAAUGCGACAACAAAAACUGCCUUGAUGUCAUCUGCCUCAAUUUCCAUAUCCCCAGCGACCGGUCUUUCAUCGUGACCGCCAAUCAUAACAUCAAAUUGCAGAAGUAUGGUGAAAGCAUUUGGGUUGACGAAGGCGGCAAUCGCCAUUAUCCUUAACUUUCCUCUUCAUCCUCCUCCAUUAUCAUGUUGAGUUCUAAUUUUGAUAAGCAGAUAAGAUGGCCAUUUUGGCGCGGUUAAAUGGAAUAUUAAUAGUUUAGAUAAAUUCUUUUUCGACAACAAUGUAUGUAAAAAAAAAAUUGUAAUGUUAAAAUGUCUGGUAUUAAUUAAAGGAUUUUAUUUUA